UACGGAGGGUGCAAACGUUGCUCGGAAUUAUUGGGCGUAAAGCGCACGUAGGCGGUCUAUUAAGUCGGGUGUGAAAGCCCUGGGCUCAACCCAGGAAGUGCACUCGAAACUGAUAGGCUUGAGUACGGAAGAGGGUCUCGGAAUUCCCGGUGUAGAGGUGAAAUUCGUAGAUAUCGGGAGGAACACCAGUGGCGAAGGCGGAGACCUGGGCCGAUACUGACGCUGAGGUGCGAAAGCGUGGGGAGCAAACAGG
Molecule: ribosomal RNA, 253 nt
Filed under: uncultured bacterium
Lineage: Bacteria
Description: partial 16S ribosomal RNA
Rfam family: Bacterial small subunit ribosomal RNA
Source: RNAcentral